Molecule: ribosomal RNA, 253 nt
Filed under: uncultured bacterium
Lineage: Bacteria
Description: partial 16S ribosomal RNA
Rfam family: Bacterial small subunit ribosomal RNA
Source: RNAcentral
UACGUAGGGGGCAAGCGUUGUCCGGAUUUAUUGGGCGUAAAGAGCGUGUAGUCGGCUUUGCAAGUCCGUUGUGAAAACUCGAGGCUCAACCUCGAGACGCCGGUGGAAACUGCAAAGCUAGAGUCCGGAAGAGGAGAGUGGAAUUCCUGGUGUAGCGGUGAAAUGCGCAGAUAUCAGGAAGAACGCCCGUGGCGAAGGCGGCUCUCUGGGACGGUACUGACGCUGAGGCGCGAAAGCUAGGGGAGCAAACGGG